This 73-nucleotide non-coding RNA is filed under the name Streptomyces longwoodensis. The record is from RNAcentral. Lineage: Bacteria; Bacillati; Actinomycetota; Actinomycetes; Kitasatosporales; Streptomycetaceae.
AGAGGAAGCCGGUGCGAAUCCGGCGCGGUCCCGCCACUGUCACCGGGGUGCGAACCCCGGGAGCCAGGAACUC